This 21-nucleotide microRNA is filed under the name Corchorus olitorius. Its description in RNAcentral is "bdi-miR11". Lineage: Eukaryota; Viridiplantae; Streptophyta; Magnoliopsida; Malvales; Malvaceae. The record is from RNAcentral.
UACUACUCCCUCCGUCCUAUA